Molecule: ribosomal RNA, 443 nt
Filed under: uncultured Anaerotruncus sp.
Lineage: Bacteria; Bacillati; Bacillota; Clostridia; Eubacteriales; Oscillospiraceae
Description: bacterial SSU rRNA
Rfam family: Bacterial small subunit ribosomal RNA
Source: RNAcentral
CCUACGGGGGGCUGCAGUGGGGAAUAUUGGGCAAUGGGGGAAACCCUGACCCAGCGACGCCGCGUGAGGGAAGAAGGUUUUCGGAUUGUAAACCUCUGUCUUUGGGGACGAAGAAAGUGACGGUACCCAAGGAGGAAGCCACGGCUAACUACGUGCCAGCAGCCGCGGUAAAACGUAGGUGGCAAGCGUUGUCCGGAUUUACUGGGUGUAAAGGGAGCGCAGGUGGACUGACAAGUCGAAUGUGAAAAUCAUGGGCUCAACUCAUGAACUGCGUUCGAUACUGCCGGUCUUGAGUGGAGUAGGGGCAGGCGGAAUUCCCGGUGUAGCGGUGGAAUGCGUAGAUAUCGGGAGGAAUACCGGUAGCGAAGGCGGCCUGCUGGGCUCUAACUGACACUGAGGCUCGAAAGCGUGGGGAGCAAACAGGAUUAGAUACCCGGGUAGUC